CUUACUCCUGAUGUUAGAGGCGGACGGGUGAGUAACACGUGGGUAACCUGCCUGUAAGACUGGGAUAACUCCGGGAAACCGGGGCUAAUACCGGAUGGUUGUUUGAACCGCAUGGUUCAAACAUAAAAGGUGGCUUCGGCUACCACUUACAGAUGGACCCGCGGCGCAUUAGCUAGUUGGUGAGGUAACGGCUCACCAAGGCAACGAUGCGUAGCCGACCUGAGAGGGUGAUCGGCCACACUGGGACUGAGACACGGCCCAGACUCCUACGGGAGGCAGCAGUAGGGAAUCUUCCGCAAUGGACGAAAGUCUGACGGAGCAACGCCGCGUGAGUGAUGAAGGUUUUCGGAUCGUAAAGCUCUGUUGUUAGGGAAGAACAAGUACCGUUCGAAUAGGGCGGUACCUUGACGGUACCUAACCAGAAAGCCACGGCUAACUACGUGCCAGCAGCCGCGGUAAUACGUAGGUGGCAAGCGUUGUCCGGAAUUAUUGGGCGUAAAGGGCUCGCAGGCGGUUUCUUAAGUCUGAUGUGAAAGCCCCCGGCUCAACCGGGGAGGGUCAUUGGAAACUGGGGAACUUGAGUGCAGAAGAGGAGAGUGGAAUUCCACGUGUAGCGGUGAAAUGCGUAGAGAUGUGGAGGAACACCAGUGGCGAAGGCGACUCUCUGGUCUGUAACUGACGCUGAGGAGCGAAAGCGUGGGGAGCGAACAGGAUUAGAUACCCUGGUAGUCCACGCCGUAAACGAUGAGUGCUAAGUGUUAGGGGGUUUCCGCCCCUUAGUGCUGCAGCUAACGCAUUAAGCACUCCGCCUGGGGAGUACGGUCGCAAGACUGAAACUCAAAGGAAUUGACGGGGGCCCGCACAAGCGGUGGAGCAUGUGGUUUAAUUCGAAGCAACGCGAAGAACCUUACCAGGUCUUGACAUCCUCUGACAAUCCUAGAGAUAGGACGUCCCCUUCGGGGGCAGAGUGACAGGUGGUGCAUGGUUGUCGUCAGCUCGUGUCGUGAGAUGUUGGGUUAAGUCCCGCAACGAGCGCAACCCUUGAUCUUAGUUGCCAGCAUUCAGUUGGGCACUCUAAGGUGACUGCCGGUGACAAACCGGAGGAAAGGGGGGGAUGACGUCAAAUCAUCAUGCCCCUUAUGACCUGGGCUACCACGUGCUUCAAUGGACAGAACAAAAGGGAGCGGAAACCCCGAGGGUUAGCCAAUCCCACAAAUUUGUUCCUAGUUCGGAUCCAAUCUUGGAAUUCAAUCCGUGGAAGCGGAAACCCUUGUAAUCCGGA
RNAcentral lists this ribosomal RNA (1282 nucleotides) under Bacillus subtilis. Its description in RNAcentral is "bacterial SSU rRNA". It matches the Rfam family "Bacterial small subunit ribosomal RNA", at positions 79 to 1347 of the family's 1533-position model. Lineage: Bacteria; Bacillati; Bacillota; Bacilli; Caryophanales; Bacillaceae. The record is from RNAcentral.